UACGUAGGGGGCAAGCGUUGUCCGGAAUCAUUGGGCGUAAAGAGCGUGUAGGUGGCCAGAAAAGUCCGCUGUGAAAACUCGAGGCUCAACUUCGAGCUGUCGGUGGAAACUUUCUGGCUAGAGUCCGGAAGAGGAGAAUGGAAUUCCUGGUGUAGCGGUGAAAUGCGCAGAUAUCGUAAGGAAGACCAGUGGCGAAGGCGGGUCUCUGGACAGUUCCUGACGCUGAGGCACGAAGGCCAGGGGAGCAAACGGG
This 253-nucleotide ribosomal RNA is filed under the name uncultured bacterium. RNAcentral describes it as "partial 16S ribosomal RNA". It matches the Rfam family "Bacterial small subunit ribosomal RNA", at positions 524 to 776 of the family's 1533-position model. The record is from RNAcentral.